UCCAUUUUCGGUGAAUGCU
Molecule: non-coding RNA, 19 nt
Filed under: Arabidopsis thaliana (thale cress)
Lineage: Eukaryota; Viridiplantae; Streptophyta; Magnoliopsida; Brassicales; Brassicaceae
Source: RNAcentral